AUCACCCUCUGUGAAGAAAUCAAACUAUCUCAAUACGUACGAAGUUAAUAUAUGGACCACCUAGGGUAUAACUAAGGGAGUGGUUAUAACACGACUCUCCAUAAGAGAGCGUAUCUCUGCUUGUAAUACAUAAAACUCCUCUCCCAUAUGGACUAGAUCUAGUACAACUUUCUCUGUAUAUCAAGCUAUAACCCGUCUCUCAAACUCAUUGAGCUGUGUUUGGAAAUCAGCACGUA
RNAcentral lists this long non-coding RNA (236 nucleotides) under Capsicum annuum. RNAcentral describes it as "long non-coding RNA (CANN_LNC017235)". Lineage: Eukaryota; Viridiplantae; Streptophyta; Magnoliopsida; Solanales; Solanaceae. The record is from RNAcentral.